Seriola aureovittata is the source of this 1881-nucleotide long non-coding RNA. RefSeq lists it as uncharacterized. The transcript has 2 exons. The record is from RefSeq and is a predicted model, not a curated record. Lineage: Eukaryota; Metazoa; Chordata; Actinopteri; Carangiformes; Carangidae.
UUUGUUGUUUUUCACGUUGUCGUGUUGUUUCACAUCAAGUUUAAAGUCAGAGUUUCAUGAAAUUUCAUGUGAGUUCAGUUUCGGUCGACCUGUUCUCAAACAUCCAGACUGUGAACGUCUGUUACCACCUGGUGCUUUAACACCUGCCAUUUCUUUUUAAUUGCACCACCAUGAGGAGUGGUCAUGUGACCCGGAGCUCGUUUCAUCAUUUCAACUUGUUAGUUUAGUUUAUUUCACGUGAUAUUUAAAUGUGUGUUUUUUUUGUCUCUAAUUUCUCAUCUCACCUCAUGUGAUCUGAUUCUAUCUCUCCUUAUUUCAUGUCAUGCCAUCUACUGCAUCCAGUCACAUUUUAUUUCAUCUCUCAUGUUAUUUUAUCUCACUUUUCUUAUCUCAAGUACAUUUAUAUUUCCUUGUGUCUCCUCUUGUCACCUCAUCUCGUCUCGUUUCAUCUCGUCUCAUCUCGUCUAGAUUGUUUUUAUCUCGUUUCAUCUCAAUCAUCUCGUCUCAUCUUGAUUGUCUCAUCUUGUCUCAUCUAAUCUUGAUCAUCCCCUCUCAUCUCGUCAUGAUUUAUUCAUCUCGAUCAUCUCGUCUCCAUCGUUUCAUCUCAUCUCGAUCUCUCGAUCUCAUCAUCAUUCUGUCUCACGUAAUCUAAUUUUAUCACAUUUUUCUCAACUCAUCUUCUCAAACUUCAUCUCUCUCAACUUGUUUCAUCUCUUCUCCUCUGAUCUCAUUUUCUCUCAUCUCUUCAUCGUCUUCUCACACCUUCUCAUUUUCUAUUGCAUUUUAAAACAUCUAUCUAUCUUUCUAUCUAUCUAUCUCAGUAGGUAAGUUGGGCCAAUCAGAUUGCUCAGGUGAGGUGACAUCACCUCUCCGAUCAGCAGUGUGACCUCAGUCUGUAUCAUCAUGAAUCCCUAACGAGGGCUCUCGAAGCGACCAAUCAGCAGAGGCCUGGAUUAUCAGUAAAUGACGAGGCGGAGAGAUAGAGUACCAGAGAAGAGGGAGGACGGACCGACAUGAACACCGGAGGAAAGAGAGGAAUCAAAGCGGCUGAUGAUCUCAGUGUUUCAUGUAUGAUUCACUGCCAGUAGCUGUGACUCACUGUUGUAACAGCAAGUUAAAGUGAUGGAGUCAAGUUCAUGCCAGCUGUUGUUUACCUCUCCCUCUCUGUUGAUACUACAAACUGCAACUGGAGCUGCUGCCUCACUUCUCCCUGAUUAUUCACUUUCUGCUGCAGUUUGUCUUUCUGUGUUUUUAAUCAGGGGUCGAGGUCGAACAGCUUUUCACUUCCUGCUGUGGGUUUGUUUUAUCUGGUAACAGCAGCGAUCGGACCUGUAGAUGUUAUAAGGCAGCUGUAGCAUAACAUCCUAAUGUAAACUGAAGCUGCGUCAUGUUUUCACUGACUUUAAAAAGACAGGAAACCGAUUGCCUUGAAGAAGUCAAGUAAAUAUAACUAUUAGUUUUAAGUUCUGUUGACUUUACAUGACAUGUGUCUCCAACAUAAGCACACGUACAUAAACAUACAUCUUAGACACAGAUGUCAAUAUAUGAAAUUAUUCCAAUUUCUAAAAGGUUUCAUAUAUAAAGUUGUUUUUAUUCUAUAUCUGCAUCUCUCCUUGACUCUACCUCCCUCAUUCAAAAUGGCCGCCACUUUCUCCAACUGUUUAGGGGAGUUUUUGUUUGCUGAAUCUGCUAGUGUGUUUUGUCAGAGUUGAUGAUAGUGUUGUUUGUGGUAGCAGAGGCAAGAUAAAGGAGAUAGUGGUGCGACAUAAAUCCCUUUGAUAUAUGGACAUACAUGUUAUAUAUCAUGUUCCUGUAAGGGAAGCAACAACAGAGAGAAUCUGCAGUAUUUGUACUAAUAAACAUAAUAAACAUGAGUUUACU